This 3190-nucleotide long non-coding RNA is filed under the name Mytilus galloprovincialis (Mediterranean mussel). The stretch from base 92 to 137 matches the Rfam family "Histone 3' UTR stem-loop". Lineage: Eukaryota; Metazoa; Mollusca; Bivalvia; Mytilida; Mytilidae. The record is from RNAcentral.
GUUUCCUUAACCAGAAGCUGAUGUCCAAAAGUUCUAAAACCAAGGAAGAUAUAGCCCCAUUCAUCUACUGCUGAAAUAGAUACAGAUAAAAUUAACGGUCCUUUUAAGGACCAUCAAAAUCUUUAAAAGGGAGUCUUAAAAUUGUUGUACACUUCAGUUUAAAUUGCUGUUAUAAAGCUAUAUUAUAGCCCUACCCCUUAAAUAUCUUCCAAAAAAUGUAAAAUUAGAGAGCCCCUGGCAAGUGUUUCUGAGUUUACACAAUAAUAUGUGGCUUAUGUGUGUGAUGCGGCUCUAAAUAAAUGUGAGCUGGAUUCGCACACAACUUUCAUGACUGAACCGUGGCACUUAAAUGAUUUAUUUAAUAGCCACAAUUUAUCAAAAACUUAUUAAAAGACCUAAAACUGAAACUAUGGAUUUCUUUUCUUUUUUUCCAGGUCCCAGAAAUAAGAUACUAGAAAGAAAUAAGCCCAUAUUUUCCAUCUUUCACUGUCCCCUGAUCCCAUAUAACACAUUUAUUAUUUCUUUCCCUGUGACUUUUUCUAAUACUGUUUGCUGAUAUUUUUCAAAAAUCCCUCCAUUUUAACUUACAAGUGUAGGAAUACAUAUUACAGACAAAAUGACCUUUCUGUGACCCCCUUUUAAACUUUAAAUUGAAAAACAAACUUUUUUAAAUUUCAUAAAUUUAAAUUUCAAUUUAAUUUAAAAAGUUUAAUUCAAAUUUUAAAAAUAAUUACACCAUUGUUUUCCUUAUUAAAUUUUGAAGCCUGUAGCCAAAUUUCAUCCAUGAAACUUCAAAAAUGAGCUGACAAUUGCAGAUUAAAAUGUUCAAAACAUGCUCUCUGACAGGAACGGGGACCCAAUUAUUUGCCCCAUUGGAACGCAUUGAAAAUCAUAGUAAAUACAUAGGGUCCUGUUCAAUAAAUAAUUUUGAUAGCCACCUUGGGACUUCUGGUUCAUGUUAGGCAUUCAUUUUGAAGUGUCUAAGUACAAUCUCAGUGCCUCAUGACCGGCAUUCCGUUGCAAAAUUUUGUUUUUAUUGACAACAGGGUCAGUCUGUCUACUUCCGGGAAAGAAUAAAGGCUAGAAUUUAGGCAAUUUACUCUAUGUACUGACGCCAGAUUACAUUUAAAUCAAUCAAAAUUUUUACAGAAAUUCAAACUAGAAAGCCUACCCUUUCAAAUAAAACUACAUUCAGUUACAGAACUAGUGAAAUAAUAACACUACACAAUUUAUAACAAAAGUUAUAUAUUUUUUUUAAGAACUACAUUCGUGGGUACCGGACUGGUUGCCCUAACUGGGAUCCUAUUCCUGUCAGACUUUAUUUUUUUUCCCAGACUUAAAACUGCACUUUUAAAAUAAAGAUAUACAUCUCAGUAGUUAUUGUGCAAAGUUUCAAAAAAUUUGAUCAAACAGUUACAGAAUUAUAGAUCCUUAUCUAUAACAUCUCAAAUACCAGAAAAUUGAUCGGAGAAAAUCUUAAAUUCAUGAAGAAAAUAUGCUAAAAAUCAGCAAAACUUUUUUAUUUCAAGAGAUAUUUACAUUCUGUAAAUUGCAUAAGGUAGACAAAUUCAUUCUUUGUAUGGAAAUCUAGUUGAAACCAAAAUUUGUUUAAAAAUAAAUUAAAAAUAUUAUUUUUUUCAAUUAAAAUUAAAAAAUCUUCUGUUUUAAAAAAGAAUUAUGCAAAAAACAAGCAAUACCCCAUAAACAUGUUUUUUUAAACAUGUAAUAAGUUCAAUAUUAAAGACAGAAUCCAAAAAAUGUCUUCAAAUAGUCUGCUAAGUUCUAUUUAACUUUAAUUUAUUUAAUCAAUAUAAGACUUUAAAUUUAAAAAAAGAUAAAAAUGCUAGAAGUGCAGAUCAGAAGUUCAAUCAAAACUUAAAAGUAAGUUCUAAAACCAGAAAAAAACAAAUCAAACAAGCAAAAGAAAAAUCCUAACUAUUUCAGUUCAAUACAUUGAUAAAAUUGCAGAUUUUAAUAUGGAAAUCAGCUUGAAAUCUUUAAUUUUAAAAAAAAAAAUCUUCUGUUUUAAAGAAUUACAUAUGCAAAACAAGCAUACCCCAUAACAAUGGUAUAAAAUAUGAGACAAAGUCUUCAAAUAGUCUGCUAAGUUCAUUUAAAAUACAAUAUAAGAGGCUAGAUGCAGAGAAGUUCUCACUUGUAGCUAAAACCAGUCAAACAGCACCUCCUAUAGUUUAACAGAUGUGAAGGGAAAUCCUUGAUCUUCCUGACCGCUUAACGCUACUGUGCGUUGUUGUACUUUUGACUGCUCUAAAUGUCCCACUAGUUCAUAUGUGUGUUCUCUUGGACACUGAAACUGUUGGUGGCUGGGAUCCAUGUACUUUAGUCCAAGUUCACCAACCUGAAUAUAGAUAACAAAGACAAGUUAAUAAUGCAGGAACUUUUAAAAAUGAAACUUAGGAAAGAAGCAUUAAUUAAAAUGAAAUUCAAACAGUGAAACUAUUAAAAGAGCACUAAGUGUUUCCUUAACCAGAAGCAGAUCUCCAAAAGUUCCAAAACCAAGGAAGAUAUAGCUCCCAUUCAUUUACUGCUGAAAUAGAUACAGAUAAAAUUAACGGUCCUUUUAAGGACCAUCAAAAUCUUUAAAAGGGAGUCUUAAAUUGUUGUACAUUGAGUUUAAAUUGCUUGUAUAAGCUAUAUUAUAGCCCUACCCCUUAAAUAUCUUCCAAAAAAUGUAAAAUUAGAGAGCCCCUGGCAAGUGUUUCUGAGUUCACACAAUAAUAUGUGGCUAUGUAUGUGAUGCGGCUCUAAAUAAAUGUUAGCUGGAUUCGCACACAACUUUCAUAACUGAACCGUGGCACUUAAAUGAUUUAUUUAAUAGCCACAAUUUAUCAAAAACUUAUUAAAAACCUAAAACUGAAACUAUGGGUUUAUUUUCUGUUUCCAGGUCCCAGAAAUAAGAUAUUAGAAAGAAAUAAGCCCAUAUUUUCCAUCUUUCACUGUCCCCUGAUCCCAUAUAACACAUUUAUUAUUUCUUUCCCUGUGACUUUUUCUAAUACUAUUUGCUGAUAUUUUUCAAAAAUCCCUCCAUUUUAACUUGCAAGUGUAGGAAUACAUAUUACAGACAACUAUGACCUUUCUGUGACCCCCUUUUAAACUUUAAAUUGAAAAACAAACUUUUUUAAAUUUCAUAAAUUUAAAUUUCAAUUUAAUUUAAAAAGUUUAAUUCAAA